GGGAUCAACAAAAUUGGGAAAAUGGCAGAAAUGAAACACAUCCCUUGCGAAGCAAGUGUAAUGGCAUCACUUCAAAAGGCUCGUGAGAUGUCACCGGAGAGGCUGCGAACACGACGACCCGAGCGUUCCUGCAACCUCUUGCAUCGUAUUUUCUGGAGGAGACGUUGAAGAGGCUGACCUCCACAUCAAGGUGGACCGCGAGAUGUUUGCAGUGAAAAAUGGGGAGGAGGGGCUGGCGGCUGUUUUAUCUGCUUACUGGCUCUUCAAUAUCCAGUACGACCGCAAGCUGUUCAACACUCUUCUCGUGUUGGAGCGCCUUUUCCUUGGGCUCACAUUGAGUACCCCUAGAGUAGUGGCUACAAAGUUCUUGAACAAUGUUGCCAAAUGUGUGCCAUGUUUAAUGUGCUGAAGCUGUGCACUGUUACCUCAUCAUGAGUUUAGCUGUAAUUUUCAGAUGCAAGUUUUGUUUUGUCUAACCAUUUCUGCAAUACAUAUGAAGGAAGCCAACAGUCACCGAUAACAAGGCAAGCUUAUGGCAACGCUAUUUGUUUUUUUUUAUUUGCAGUGUUAGUAGUUUGAAAUUAUUAGUGUAAUUAUUUUCAGAUGUGGUUAGUUAGGAUCCCACUGGCAGAAUGUGGUUUUCUGCUUUCUGAUCAUUUACCUGUCAGCCAUAAAAUGAUUACACUAACAAUUUUCUAUUGUAAGCACCACAAAUUGUUAAAACUUAGAAGCAUUCUCCAUGUGGGGCGUUCCUUGGUCUCGGUCACUGUUGGCAUUUUUCAUAUGCAUUACAGAAAGGGUUAAACUAUUCAACACUUUCUUAUCUAAAUGUUACAGGUAAACUGUCUUUUGUAUUACAUCAUUAGCUCUUUUUAACUUUCAAUAACUAAGCAAGAUUCUAGU
Molecule: long non-coding RNA, 903 nt
Organism: Dermacentor silvarum
Lineage: Eukaryota; Metazoa; Arthropoda; Arachnida; Ixodida; Ixodidae
Exons: 2
Source: RefSeq, a predicted model, not a curated record